AUGGCCGGAUCUCAUGACGACAUCAACAUGCUUCAGCGUUAUCCGGUGUUUGCAAGGCUUGCAACAGGCAACUGCCUGAAGGUCAAUGUUGAUAUCAAUGGUCACCACUACAAUAAAGGGUACUAUCUAGACGACAGUAUCUAUCCUAAGUGGACUACUCUUGUAAAGACAAUCUCCAACCUUGUAGGAGAGAAGAGGAAGAGAUUUUUCCAAACACAAGAGAGUGCUACGAAGGAUGUGGAGUGUGCCUUUGGUGUUCUUCAAUCUCGGUGGGGCAUCGUUUGGUAUCCAGCUAGAAUGUGGAGCACCAAAAAGUUGUGA
RNAcentral lists this ribosomal RNA (321 nucleotides) under Triticum aestivum (bread wheat). Its description in RNAcentral is "partial small subunit ribosomal RNA". Lineage: Eukaryota; Viridiplantae; Streptophyta; Magnoliopsida; Poales; Poaceae. The record is from RNAcentral.